RNAcentral lists this unclassified non-coding RNA (2227 nucleotides) under Hevea brasiliensis (rubber tree). The record is from RNAcentral. Lineage: Eukaryota; Viridiplantae; Streptophyta; Magnoliopsida; Malpighiales; Euphorbiaceae.
GAAAAGGUUAAAGAGAGAAAGUAAAAUUUCUCUAUCUAUUUAGCCAACCCUUGCAAAAUUACAAGUCUUUACCCCUUUGUACACGGGUAAUUACAAGAUGUACAAGGCCUUAAAUAUCCAAGAAAUAGUUAACCCUUUUUUUUUCUGGGCCUAUUUUUCUUGUCCAGUUGUUUUAAACUACGGAACAAGAAAAUUACAUAGUCUCAUUCCACCCUUAAUGGCAUUUCUUAAAGGGGUGGGUACAAUUAUAUAUAUAAAUAUAUCAAAUUUUCUACUGCUCGAUCUUUAGUCUUCACAGCCUUGGCUGCCCUUGCAGGGAGACUCGUUUCCACUCUACCAAACGUUGCAAAAAAUCCAUCACCUGCAAGAAUAUUCCAAAUGUACAUAAGCUAACUAUAAACUGUAUAGGCAUGCAAAAGUAUAUAUGGAAAAAAAAGUGCAUAAAUUGGCAAAAAUACUUGCCUGGGUGGGUUCCUGUAGAGAAUAAGAUGCACUUGUGUCCUUUGGAUAUUUAGAGACUAGGAUACCAAAGCCAUGUCCUCUCUCUCUUAAUACCUAUUCACAAUAAAAAUAAAUAAAUAAAACCCCAUAUAACCAUUAGCCAUAAAGAUCAAAAUUUUUUAAAAAAAUGAAUAAUGAAAAAUAGUAAAAUUUAAACAUUGGAUACCUUGAAUGCAUCUUCAUCUGUUCUAUCAUCUCCAAUAUAAACAGGGAAAACAUCGGUACAGUUGGCAAAUCCUGUAGCAAUAUUACCAGAGUUAGAGGUGAUUUGCCAGUGACGAAUAUAGUAUUAAGAUCUAGUGAAUAAAGUAAUCUAGUGGGUGGAGGUGGCUUCUUUUUAGACAAUCAAAUCAAAUUAAAUAAUAACGUCUUAAUUAUUAUUAAUGAAGUUGAUAAAUGGACGAGUAAUGCCACAGAAAACUCACCAAGUGACUCCAACAAAAAUUCAAGAGCUUUCCCUUUGUCCCAUUUAAUUGUAGGACGGAUUUCCAGUACCUGUUUAUAAAAUAAAAUAUUAAUAUUAGAAAGUUUUUCAAAAAAUAAUAAUUAAAAAAUUUAAACGAAUUAUUAGUUGCCACGUCACACCUUCCUCCCUUGAGUAAGUCUCAGCUUUGGGUAGUCUUUCAAGACUGACCUAACCACUUGGGCCAGUUCACUCCAUUUCUGUAAUUUUCAUGCAUAAGUUAGUUAACAUUACACUUGAAAAAGUAUACAUAUAGUAUAUAACAGAUAACUGUGAUUGAUUUGAUUCCCUAUUAUUUCCUACCUUCUCAUCAACACAUCGAAAAUGGACUGACACACAGAACUUAUUGUUCUCCACCUUAGCCCCUGGAGUUGAUUUUGUUUUCUCUAUCAAUUCCUUGUAAACCUCAUCGAUCAUGGGUAGAAAUUCACUUGCAGGCUGGAAUAUGAGAGCUUCACUUCCUUUCUUGUAUUUGGAGCCUUUUGCUGGUCCUUUAAUGUCCAUGCCAUGGCUUCCAGCAUAGUACAGCUCUGCUAAUCGUACAAAUUUAUACACCUUGUCUCUGCAUCUCCCACUCACUAUAGCAGUAGGGAAACACCUCGCAAGCUUUCUCACUGUUGCUCUCAUCUUCUUGGACAUGAAAGCUCGAUCUGGGUCAUCAACAAUAGGAGAAAGGGUGCCAUCAUAGUCCAAAAACAUCACUAUUUGCUUCCCUUUCGAGGCCUCAAUUAUCUGCUCAAACAUGUCCAAGGCCGAUGGGUGAUGAAGAACCCACGAGCCUUGGUCGUCAGUGAGAGAAGGUGUGGAUUUGAGGUGGGUGGGAGAUGAGGCUCUCAUUGAAUCAACCCAGGCGUUUAACCUUGCCGCUCCAUUGAUUUCAAGAUUCAGAAGGUCCUUUCUUGAAAUGGAGAUGAACCCACCAGGAGCGGCGGGGGGCUUUUGAGCUGCGGGCGGCUUCUGUGCGGCGGUGGGGAAAAUAGAGGAGCCGGACACGUGCACUGUGAUUGCCAAGUUGAUGGUGGAUUUUGGUUCGGACGCUAUCACAUUUUGGUUGGUCAUCUUGGCUCUAAUGCCUCUUGAAUUCUAAGCUAGAAAUGAAGAAGAAGCAGAGGAGUUGAAAGAAAACAGAGAGCUUUAUUUUACGACUCUUCAAACUUGAAGAUUAUAUAGAAAGAAAGAAGAAAACAAAUGGCAGAGAGAAGGCAAAAAACAGGCCACAAUAAUUAGAAGAAGAAGAAGAAGAAGUGAGAGAGAGAAUGUGCG